GAUGAACGCUGGCGGCGUGCCUAAUACAUGCAAGUCGAGCGAACAGACGAGGAGCUUGCUCCUCUGACGUUAGCGGCGGACGGGUGAGUAACACGUGGAUAACCUACCUAUAAGACUGGGAUAACUUCGGGAAACCGGAGCUAAUACCGGAUAAUAUAUUGAACCGCAUGGUUCAAUAGUGAAAGACGGUUUUGCUGUCACUUAUAGAUGGAUCCGCGCCGCAUUAGCUAGUUGGUAAGGUAACGGCUUACCAAGGCAACGAUGCGUAGCCGAACUGAGAGGGGGAUCGGCCACACUGGAACUGAGACACGGUCCAGACUCCUACGGGAGGCAGCAGUAGGGAAUCUUCCGCAAUGGGCGAAAGCCUGACGGAGCAACGCCGCGUGAGUGAUGAAGGUCUUCGGAUCGUAAAACUCUGUUAUUAGGGAAGAACAAAUGUGUAAGUAACUAUGCACGUCUUGACGGUACCUAAUCAGAAAGCCACGGCUAACUACGUG
This 497-nucleotide ribosomal RNA is filed under the name uncultured bacterium. RNAcentral's name for it is "partial 16S ribosomal RNA". It matches the Rfam family "Bacterial small subunit ribosomal RNA", at positions 28 to 507 of the family's 1533-position model. The record is from RNAcentral.